GCAAUGAUGAAUAUUUUGGUUUUGAUCAGCAACGAGGUGAAACUACGCAACCAAUCCUCUAAGAAGUUCUGAGCUC
This is a small nucleolar RNA of Dicentrarchus labrax (European seabass), 76 nucleotides long. NCBI's taxonomy places the organism in Eukaryota, Metazoa, Chordata, Actinopteri, Moronidae. The record is from Ensembl.